GCCAGGUGUGGUGAUGCACACCUGUAAUCCCAGCUACUUGGGAGGCUGAGGCAGGAGAAUCACUUGAACCCAGGAGGCAGGGGUUGCAGUGAGCCAAGAUAGUGCCACUGCACUCCAGCCUGGGUGACAGAGCGAUCACCCUCUC
Molecule: unclassified non-coding RNA, 145 nt
Organism: Pongo abelii (Sumatran orangutan)
Lineage: Eukaryota; Metazoa; Chordata; Mammalia; Primates; Hominidae
Rfam family: Metazoan signal recognition particle RNA
About the family: The signal recognition particle (SRP) is a universally conserved ribonucleoprotein. It is involved in the co-translational targeting of proteins to membranes.
Source: Ensembl